GACGAACGCUGGCGGCGUGCUUAACACAUGCAAGUCGAACGGAAAGGCCCUGCUUUUGUGGGGUGCUCGAGUGGCGAACGGGUGAGUAACACGUGAGUAACCUGCCCUUGACUUUGGGAUAACUUCAGGAAACUGGGGCUAAUACCGGAUAGGAGCUCCUGCUGCAUGGUGGGGGUUGGAAAGUUUCGGCGGUUGGGGAUGGACUCGCGGCUUAUCAGCUUGUUGGUGGGGUAGUGGCUUACCAAGGCUUUGACGGGUAGCCGGCCUGAGAGGGUGACCGGCAAUUUUGGGCCGGCUAUACGGCCCGGCUUCCACGAGGAGACGGAGGGGGGGAUCUUGCCCGAGGGGGGGGAGCCUAGAUGACGCACCCCGGGGGGCGGGGUCGGUCCUUGCGGUUUGUAUCCCGCUUGCCCUUGGGCGGAGGCUGGAGUGCGGUAUGGGGUUAAAAAGGCCCCGGCUAACUACGUC
RNAcentral lists this ribosomal RNA (468 nucleotides) under uncultured bacterium. RNAcentral describes it as "partial 16S ribosomal RNA". It matches the Rfam family "Bacterial small subunit ribosomal RNA", at positions 28 to 507 of the family's 1533-position model. The record is from RNAcentral.